AGGUUAAUGAGGCGAACCGGGGGAACUGAAACAUCUAAGUACCCCGAGGAAAAGAAAUCAACCGAGAUUCCCCCAGUAGCGGCGAGCGAACGGGGAGGAGCCCAGAGCCUGAAUCAGCAUGUGUGUUAGUGGAAGCGUCUGGAAAGGCGCGCGAUACAGGGUGACAGCCCCGUACACAAAAGCGCAUGUGCUGUGAGCUCGAUGAGUAGGGCGGGACACGUGGUAUCCUGUCUGAAUAUGGGGGGACCAUCCUCCAAGGCUAAAUACUCCUGACUGACCGAUAGUGAACCAGUACCGUGAGGGAAAGGCGAAAAGAACCCCGGCGAGGGGAGUGAAAAAGAACCUGAAACCGUGU
This 355-nucleotide ribosomal RNA is filed under the name Salmonella enterica. RNAcentral describes it as "partial 23S ribosomal RNA". It matches the Rfam family "Bacterial large subunit ribosomal RNA", at positions 168 to 561 of the family's 2925-position model. The record is from RNAcentral. Lineage: Bacteria; Pseudomonadati; Pseudomonadota; Gammaproteobacteria; Enterobacterales; Enterobacteriaceae.